UUAACUCAAAUUUGUAUGGAAUUGGAACGUUGGCCGUUGUUUCAACGGCAUACAAAUUUGAAUUA
This 65-nucleotide microRNA precursor is filed under the name Bombyx mori (domestic silkworm). RNAcentral's name for it is "mir-2807 microRNA precursor family". It matches the Rfam family "mir-2807 microRNA precursor family". Lineage: Eukaryota; Metazoa; Arthropoda; Insecta; Lepidoptera; Bombycidae. The record is from Rfam by way of RNAcentral.